GGAAUGGUCAAACAAAGUUUCUUUGUAAGGUUUAAGCAUCAAAGUAAUAAAAUACAAGAAAAUGAAAUCAAAACUUAUAAUCCAAAAGCUUCAUCAAUCGCCAAUCCCUAAAAUCGAAAUCAACUUUAUCCACAUGGGUAUGCAUUUGUAUGUUGUUAGGUGCUGCCACCAAUCCAUAACCCAUUGCAUUUCCCCUCUGCCCAUCAAAAACUUUUUCUUGUCC
RNAcentral lists this unclassified non-coding RNA (223 nucleotides) under Hevea brasiliensis (rubber tree). The record is from RNAcentral. Lineage: Eukaryota; Viridiplantae; Streptophyta; Magnoliopsida; Malpighiales; Euphorbiaceae.